GAUUCGUCACACUAUCAUUAACUGAAUCCAUAGGUUAAUGAGGCGAACCGGGGGAACUGAAACAUCUAAGUACCCCGAGGAAAAGAAAUCAACCGAGAUUCCCCCAGUAGCGGCGAGCGAACGGGGAGGAGCCCAGAGCCUGAAUCAGCAUGUGUGUUAGUGGAAGCGUCUGGAAAGGCGCGCGAUACAGGGUGACAGCCCCGUACACAAAAGCGCAUGUGCUGUGAGCUCGAUGAGUAGGGCGGGACACGUGGUAUCCUGUCUGAAUAUGGGGGGACCAUCCUCCAAGGCUAAAUACUCCUGACUGACCGAUAGUGAACCAGUACCGUGAGGGAAAGGCGAAAAGAACCCCGGCGAGGGGAGUGAAAAAGAACCUGAAACCGUGUACGUACAAGCAGUGGGAGCACAGGUUUACCUGUGUGACUGCGUACCUUUUGUAUAAUGGGUCAGCGACUUAUAUUCUGUAGCAAGGUUAACCGUAUAGGGGAGCCGUAGGGAAACCGAGUCUUAACCGGGCGUUAAGUUGCAGGGUAUAGACCCGAAACCCGGUGAUCUAGCCAUGGGCAGGUUGAAGGUUGGGUAACACUAACUGGAGGACCGAACCGACUAAUGUUGAAAAAUUAGCGGAUGACCUGUGGCUGGGGGUGAAAGGCCAAUCAAACCGGGAGAUAGCUGGUUCUCCCCGAAAGCUAUUUAGGUAGCGCCUCGUGAAUUCAUCUCCGGGGGUAGAGCACUGUUUCGGCUAGGGGGCCAUCCCGGCUUACCAACCCGAUGCAAACUGCGAAUACCGGAGAAUGUUAUCACGGGAGACACACGGCGGGUGCUAACGUCCGUCGUGAAGAGGGAAACAACCCAGACCGCCAGCUAAGGUCCCAAAGUCAUGGUUAAGUGGGAAACGAUGUGGGAAGGCCCAGACAGCCAGGAUGUUGGCUUAGAAGCAGCCAUCAUUUAAAGAAAGCGUAAUAGCUCACUGGUCGAGUCGGCCUGCGCGGAAGAUGUAACGGGGCUAAACCAUGCACCGAAGCUGCGGCAGCGAACGUAUCACCCAAGACAACUUUACGGAGUUGACGAUUGACGGAGCGAAGCGACGUCAAAGCGUUCAUUAAAGUCGAGUUGGCUUAGGGAUACGUUCGUUGGGUAGGGGAGCGUUCUGUAAGCCUGUGAAGGUGUGUCGUGAGGCAUGCUGGAGGUAUCAGAAGUGCGAAUGCUGACAUAAGUAACGAUAAAGCGGGUGAAAAGCCCGCUCGCCGGAAGACCAAGGGUUCCUGUCCAACGUUAAUCGGGGCAGGGUGAGUCGACCCCUAAGGCGAGGCCGAAAGGCGUAGUCGAUGGGAAACGGGUUAAUAUUCCCGUACUUGGUGUUACUGCGAAGGGGGGACGGAGAAGGCUAUGUUGGCCGGGCGACGGUUGUCCCGGUUUAAGCGUGUAGGUGUGUGUUCCAGGUAAAUCCGGUUCACUUUAACACUGAGGCGUGACGACGAGGCACUACGGUGCUGAAGCAACAAAUGCCCUGCUUCCAGGAAAAGCCUCUAAGCAUCAGGUAACAUCAAAUCGUACCCCAAACCGACACAGGUGGUCAGGUAGAGAAUACCAAGGCGCUUGAGAGAACUCGGGUGAAGGAACUAGGCAAAAUGGUGCCGUAACUUCGGGAGAAGGCACGCUGACACGUAGGUGAAGUGAUUUACUCAUGGAGCUGAAGUCAGUCGAAGAUACCAGCUGGCUGCAACUGUUUAUUAAAAACACAGCACUGUGCAAACACGAAAGUGGACGUAUACGGUGUGACGCCUGCCCGGUGCCGGAAGGUUAAUUGAUGGGGUCAGCGCAAGCGAAGCUCCUGAUCGAAGCCCCGGUAAACGGCGGCCGUAACUAUAACGGUCCUAAGGUAGCGAAAUUCCUUGUCGGGUAAGUUCCGACCUGCACGAAUGGCGUAAUGAUGGCCAGGCUGUCUCCACCCGAGACUCAGUGAAAUUGAACUCGCUGUGAAGAUGCAGUGUACCCGCGGCAAGACGGAAAGACCCCGUGAACCUUUACUAUAGCUUGACACUGAACAUUGAGCCUUGAUGUGUAGGAUAGGUGGGAGGCUUUGAAGUGUGGACGCCAGUCUGCAUGGAGCCGACCUUGAAAUACCACCCUUUAAUGUUUGAUGUUCUAACGUGGACCCGUAAUCCGGGUUGCGGACAGUGUCUGGUGGGUAGUUUGACUGGGGCGGUCUCCUCCUAAAGAGUAACGGAGGAGCACGAAGGUUGGCUAAUCCUGGUCGGACAUCAGGAGGUUAGUGCAAUGGCAUAAGCCAGCUUGACUGCGAGCGUGACGGCGCGAGCAGGUGCGAAAGCAGGUCAUAGUGAUCCGGUGGUUCUGAAUGGAAGGGCCAUCGCUCAACGGAUAAAAGGUACUCCGGGGAUAACAGGCUGAUACCGCCCAAGAGUUCAUAUCGACGGCGGUGUUUGGCACCUCGAUGUCGGCUCAUCACAUCCUGGGGCUGAAGUAGGUCCCAAGGGUAUGGCUGUUCGCCAUUUAAAGUGGUACGCGAGCUGGGUUUAGAACGUCGUGAGACAGUUCGGUCCCUAUCUGCCGUGGGCGCUGGAGAACUGAGGGGGGCUGCUCCUAGUACGAGAGGACCGGAGUGGACGCAUCACUGGUGUUCGGGUUGUCAUGCCAAUGGCACUGCCCGGUAGCUAAAUGCGGAAGAGAUAAGUGCUGAAAGCAUCUAAGCACGAAACUUGCCCCGAGAUGAGUUCUCCCUGAGACUUAGAGUCUCCUGAAGGAACGUUGAAGACGACGACGUUGAUAGGCCGGGUGUGUAAGCGCAGCGAUGCGUUGAGCUAACCGGUACUAAUGAACCGUGAGGCUUAACCUUACAACGCCGAAG
Molecule: ribosomal RNA, 2869 nt
Filed under: Salmonella enterica subsp. enterica serovar Typhimurium
Lineage: Bacteria; Pseudomonadati; Pseudomonadota; Gammaproteobacteria; Enterobacterales; Enterobacteriaceae
Description: partial 23S ribosomal RNA
Rfam family: Bacterial large subunit ribosomal RNA
Source: RNAcentral